Molecule: non-coding RNA, 29 nt
Filed under: Mus musculus (house mouse)
Lineage: Eukaryota; Metazoa; Chordata; Mammalia; Rodentia; Muridae
Source: RNAcentral
UAGGGUCAUUAAGAAAUAUCUAAUAAGCC